GAACAGUCACCUUUGGAACCACUACCAAGGACAACAAAUCAUCUAGAGGGAUGCCACAGCAAGCUGAAGAAACAUGUCACGCAUGCACAUCCAAACAUCUUUGAACUAAUUAAACUUCUGAAACAUGAGAAAGCCUUCAACUCCCUGACCAUGAUUCAGCAUGCAGCCGGUGGGAAGAGAGUGGCCCCCAAAAAGAAGUAUGUAGAAAUCAACAACAGAUAACAAACUUAAGUUUAGACACCGCAACCAGGAAGUCACAACAGUAGAGUUUGGUGAUGAAGCCUCCCACCUUCUUCACGUGGAAUAGAUAGAUAAACUAACUUUAAUAGACUAGUAUACAGUGAUUGUCUAAUGUUUGUGCUUCAAUGUGUGAUUUGAUUUAGUGCUGUUGUAAAAUUUGUGUUAUAUUAUUCUUGCUUGAAUCUACAGUUGAAUUUGUGUUAUAAAAGUAAUAAAAAUAAUUUACUUAUAUUUGUUU
RNAcentral lists this long non-coding RNA (478 nucleotides) under Mytilus galloprovincialis (Mediterranean mussel). Lineage: Eukaryota; Metazoa; Mollusca; Bivalvia; Mytilida; Mytilidae. The record is from RNAcentral.